RNAcentral lists this ribosomal RNA (383 nucleotides) under uncultured eukaryote. RNAcentral's name for it is "SSU rRNA". It matches the Rfam family "Eukaryotic small subunit ribosomal RNA", at positions 587 to 972 of the family's 1831-position model. The record is from RNAcentral.
AGCUCCAAUAGCGUAUAUUAAAGUUGUUGCAGUUAAAAAGCUCGUAGUUGGAUUUGUGGUUGGAGCGGCCGGUCCUUCGCUUCGCGUCGGUACUUGGCAGUCUCCGUCCAUCCUUGGGUGGAUGCUGUGUGGCAUUUAGUUGUCGUGCAGUGGAUACCCAUCGUUUACUGUGAAAAAAUUAGAGUGUUCAAAGCAGGCUUAUGCCGAUGAAUAUAUUAGCAUGGAAUAAUGAGAUAGGACCUCAGUACUAUUUUGUUGGUUUGCGCACCGAGGUAAUGAUUAAUAGGGACAGUUGGGGGUAUUCGUAUUCCAUUGUCAGAGGUGAAAUUCUUGGAUUUUUGGAAGACGAACUACUGCGAAAGCAUUUACCAAGGAUGUUUUCA